CGCAUCUGUGCAUGCAGCAUAUCAAUAAGCGGAGGAAAAGAAACUAACAAGGAUUCCCCUAGUAACGGCGAGUGAAGCGGGAAGAGCUCAAAUUUGAAAUCUUAAAGGGUUUCCCUUUACGAAUUGUAGUUUAAAGAAGGUGUUUUCUGUUGAGGUUUUGGUAAAAGUUCUUUGGAAUAGGACAUCAUAGAGGGUGAGAAUCCCGUAUUUGACCUUUACUUUCAACUUUGUGAUACACUUUCAAAGAGUCGGAUUGUUUGGGAAUGCAGUCCAAAAUGGGUGGUAAAUUUCAUCUAAAGCUAGAUAUUGGCGAGAGACCGAUAGCGAACAAGUACCGUGAGGGAAAGAUGAAAAGAACUUUGAAAAGAGAGUUAAACAGUACGUGAAAUUGUCAAAAGGGAAGCGUUUGACACCAGUGUUGUUUUUCUGAAAUCAAUUAAAGAACUGUUUAUGCUAAGUUGUUUAGACUUUAUCAGCUAAUCUGUUUAGUUUUGAGCUUUUCUUUAAUGCACUUUUCAGUUAACAAGUCAACAUCAAUUUCUUUUGCUGUAAAAAAGCUUGAGGAAGGUGGCUUGAGAUUCGUCUUAAGUGUUUAUAGCCUCUUGCCUAUGCAGUCGGAGAGAUUGAGGUCUGCAGCGUAGAUCCUUCGGGGCUAAAUGCAUUUGUGCUAAGUUAUAGCAUUUUAUAGACAACUUGUUGACUAUGAUUUGUCUUGUAGCUUACUCGCUUAUGUUAUUUUACCUACGCUUAGGAUGUUGAACGCGCACAGAGUCUC
Molecule: ribosomal RNA, 775 nt
Filed under: uncultured Neocallimastigales
Lineage: Eukaryota; Fungi; Neocallimastigomycota; Neocallimastigomycetes; Neocallimastigales
Description: partial large subunit ribosomal RNA
Rfam family: Eukaryotic large subunit ribosomal RNA
Source: RNAcentral